UACGAAGGGGGCUAGCGUUGUUCGGAAUCACUGGGCGUAAAGGGCGCGUAGGCGGCUUUAUAAGUCGGGGGUGAAAGCCUGUGGCUCAACCACAGAAUUGCCUUCGAUACUGUAGAGCUUGAGACCGGAAGAGGUAAGUGGAACUGCGAGUGUAGAGGUGAAAUUCGUAGAUAUUCGGAAGAACACCAGUGGCGAAGGCGGCUCACUGGCCCGGUACUGACGCUGAGGUGCGAAAGCGUGGGAGCAAACAGG
This 252-nucleotide ribosomal RNA is filed under the name uncultured bacterium. RNAcentral's name for it is "partial 16S ribosomal RNA". It matches the Rfam family "Bacterial small subunit ribosomal RNA", at positions 524 to 776 of the family's 1533-position model. The record is from RNAcentral.